CCUGGCUCAGAUUGAACGCUGGCGGCAUGCUUUACACAUGCAAGUCGAACGGCAGCGGGGGCUUCGGCCUGCCGGCGAGUGGCGAACGGGUGAGUAACGCAUCGGAACGUGCCCAUGUCGUGGGGGAUAACGUAGCGAAAGCUACGCUAAUACCGCAUACGCCCUGAGGGGGAAAGCGGGGGAUUCUUCGGAACCUCGCGCGAUUGGAGCGGCCGAUGUCGGAUUAGCUAGUAGGUGAGGUAAAGGCUCACCUAGGCGACGAUCCGUAGCGGGUCUGAGAGGAUGAUCCGCCACACUGGGACUGAGACACGGCCCAGACUCCUACGGGAGGCAGCAGUGGGGAAUUUUGGACAAUGGGCGCAAGCCUGAUCCAGCCAUGCCGCGUGAGUGAAGAAGGCCU
RNAcentral lists this ribosomal RNA (400 nucleotides) under uncultured bacterium. Its description in RNAcentral is "bacterial SSU rRNA". It matches the Rfam family "Bacterial small subunit ribosomal RNA", at positions 18 to 417 of the family's 1533-position model. The record is from RNAcentral.